CAACUCCAGAACUGUGUUACAAACCACUCGCUGGGAAUCACAGUGGCAGGAGGUAAAUUGGUGUUUGUUAAUUCCAAUAGCAAGGAGGAGGUUCAAGAAGCUCAUGAGAACCAUGCUAAGAUAACAGUUAUAUGAUAUGAUAUUGGAGUUCAUUAUCUCACAAUACACAGGUUGAUUUUUAUCUGUAUCGGACGAAACAAGCUUUUCAGGG
This 211-nucleotide unclassified non-coding RNA is filed under the name Hevea brasiliensis (rubber tree). The record is from RNAcentral. Lineage: Eukaryota; Viridiplantae; Streptophyta; Magnoliopsida; Malpighiales; Euphorbiaceae.